UCUAGCCAUCAACGCGUACGGGUGUUGGGAGACAUUGCCCGGAGAUGGAUUCUGAGACACGAAUCCAGACCCUACGGGGUGCAGCAGGCGCGAAAACUUGGCAAUGCGAGCAAUCGUGACCAGGGAACUCCAAGUGCGUAGGGUAAGACCUACGCUUUUCUUGACUCUUCAAAGGUCUUGGAAUAAGGGGUGGGUAAGGACGGUGCCAGCCGCCGCGGUAAUACCGGCGCCUCAAGUGGUAGUCGCUUUUAUUGGGCCUAAAACGUCCGUAGCCGGUCUGGUGCAUUCGUGGGUAAAUCAACCCGCUCAACGGGUUGAAUUCUGCGAGCACGGCCAGACUUGGGACCGGGAGAGGUGUGGGGUACUCUCAGGGUAGGGGUAAAAUCCUGUCAUCCUGAGAGGACCACCUGUUGCGAAGGCGCCACACUAGAACGGAUCCGACGGUCAGGGACGAAACCUAGGGGCACGAACCGGAUUAGAUACCCGGGUAGUCCUAGGUGUAAACGCUGUGGACUUGAUGUUGGGGGCGCUCCGAGCGCUCUCAGUGUCGAAGCGAAGGUGAUAAGUCCACUGCCUGGGGAGUACGGUCGCAAGGCUGAAACUUAAAGGAAUUGGCGGGGGAGCACUGCAACCUGAGGAUUGUGCGGUUUAAUUGGAUUCAACGCCGGG
Molecule: ribosomal RNA, 669 nt
Filed under: uncultured archaeon
Lineage: Archaea
Description: bacterial SSU rRNA
Rfam family: Archaeal small subunit ribosomal RNA
Source: RNAcentral